AUUCCCUAGUAGCGGCGAGCGAGCGGGAAGAGCUCAAAUUUAUAAUCUGGCACCUUCGGUGUCCGAGUUGUAAUCUCUAGAAGUGUUUUCCGCGUUGGACCGCACACAAGUCUGUUGGAAUACAGCGGCAUAGUGGUGAAACCCCCGUAUAUGGUGCGGACGCCCAGCGCUUUGUGAUACACUUUCAAUGAGUCGAGUUGUUUGGGAAUGCAGCUCAAAUUGGGUGGUAAAUUCCAUCUAAAGCUAAAUAUUGGCGAGAGACCGAUAGCGAACAAGUACCGUGAGGGAAAGAUGAAAAGCACUUUGGAAAGAGAGUUAACAGUACGUGAAAUUGUUGGAAGGGAAACGCUUGAAGUCAGACUUGCUUGCCGGAGCUUGCUUCGGUUUGCAGGCCAGCAUCAGUUUUCCGGGGUGGAUAAUGACGGUUUGAAGGUAGCAGUCUCGGCUGUGUUAUAGCUUUCCGUUGGAUACAUCCUGGGGGACUGAGGAACGCAGCGUGCUUUUUGCGAAAGACUCGUCUUUUUCACGCUUAGGAUGCUGGUGGAAUGGCUUUAAACGACCCGUCUUGAAACACGGACCA
This 580-nucleotide ribosomal RNA is filed under the name Ustilentyloma graminis. RNAcentral describes it as "eukaryotic LSU rRNA". It matches the Rfam family "Eukaryotic large subunit ribosomal RNA", at positions 74 to 668 of the family's 3401-position model. Lineage: Eukaryota; Fungi; Basidiomycota; Microbotryomycetes; Microbotryales; Ustilentylomataceae. The record is from RNAcentral.